Molecule: long non-coding RNA, 3481 nt
Organism: Musa acuminata AAA Group (dessert banana)
Lineage: Eukaryota; Viridiplantae; Streptophyta; Magnoliopsida; Zingiberales; Musaceae
Exons: 4
Source: RefSeq, a predicted model, not a curated record
GCAGGCCCGCGGCUCUUUUGCCCGUGAAGUCUUCGGUGGUGCCGCCGAAGCAGUUCGAGGAAGGCGGAUGCGAAGGCUUCGGGGUUCUCGCCGGGUACUUCAGGGACGAUCGCCGACGGUACCUUUUUCAGCUGAAUUCUAACAGCAAAUUACCUCAGUCAUGGAAGGGCGCAAUGUUGCUGUUGGUCUGGUACAGAGAGAAGCCGCAAAGGUACGAUCGAGCCUGGAAAGAUGUCAGUGGAAGGAUUACUAUUGAGUUGCAACAUCAGGAAAGGAAUCGUGAGGAAUGUCUACGUUUAUCCAGCAAAGCAAGUUCCUGUGACAACCAUCCACAGGCUUCCUCCCUGUUACGAUCUCCAGCAGGAAGACACCAAACGCGAAGACGUCGGUCUUCUCGUCCACGAUCCCGUGCAUGAAGUACUCCGGCGCCAAGCACCUGUCGACGUCACAAGCUCCGUUACCUGCUGCUGCUGGCGGUGUCUUCGGUUCUGAGAGUGAUGAUGAUGGUGUAAUGCUCAUACCCAAAGGUUCCUUCGAUCGGUGCGACGGCGCGGUGAGUCCACUCGGAUGGAAGCCACCUCGCAAGGCCGAAAUCGGAGAUCUGAGAUAAAGUCAUGGAGAUAAGUGGAUACCAUUUUCACAGGAACUCACAGUGGAGGAGCUACUUCACCUGUGCUUCGAAGCUUUCUGUGAGGAGUAUGUUGGAGGCCUUGAUGUCCCUGUGGAUGAUCCUUCUCCGGCACUGCUUGUGCAGGUAGUGAAGCCCCCGGGCGGUGCCCACCGCGAUGUUGAAGCGCAGCUUCCAAGCUAUCGGCGGGGAAUUCGUAUCUGCAACACAGAAAAGAUCGAGUUUUGAGUGGGCUUCGCUGCAAUUGAUUGGGUGUCGAUGGUUCUACCGUGGAGAUUGGAGGAGACGGAGCCGCGAGGGUAGAAUUCGAAGACCAAAUGGAGGCCGCCGUCGACGCAGCAGCCGAGGAGAGCGGAGACGUUGGGAUGCCGAACGUGGCCGACAGCUCCGAGCUCCGUCAAGAAGUCCUUCUCCCUCUGCUCGUCCGAGGAAGCUCUGGUCAGCCUCUUCACCGCGAUCGCUCCGCCGUCCUCCGUCACUCCCCUGUACACCUCCGCGUAGCCGCCCCUGCCCACUAAAUUGUCUGCACCGAUCCAGAAUCCACCAAGACCAGAUUUUGAGGACCAAAUCCCAAAGAAACUGAGCUCGAAUCCCAGAAAAAACAGACCUUUGUGGAAGCCAUCAGUUGCUUCGACGAUUUCUUCGUAAGAGAAGCAUCUCCAGCUCGGUCUCAGAUGUGAAAUCUCCAUCUCGUUGAUCUGUUUAACAGAGAAGGCUUUAUCCUCGGUGUUAUCAUCUUCUCCGCUGCUGUUCCUCCUCUUUCCGAUAGCAACAAAGAGGAAGCGCUUGAGGUUUCUACUUUUUGCGUACAACUGUCUCAUUCUUUCUCCUCGGUUACCCUGUCAGGCCAAAGAAGAGAGAGCCUCACACACCACCUAUUGGCUUGUAAGCAUAGGUGGAAUACAGAGAAGGAAAAGGAGGAGAGGAGAAGACCAAAAUGAUCCAAAUCAAAUGGGCAAUGAAGGUGGGAUGGUUGGAAGGAGAUACAGAGGCUUUAAUGAGGAGAUGCGUCGCUUUUCUAAGGGAUUUAAAGAUCAUGCUAUCAAUGACUUGAAAUCUUUAUCUACUAGGCUAAUUGACAUGUUAUACCACUCUAACACCAAGGUAUGUUCUAGGUAUGAAAUUUAUCGGAUGAGGUUUAGAUUUGUUAAAAAUUGAUAAUUAGGUCUAUUAUAUAAUCACAAGAUCAAUGUUUUAGAUGAAAAUAUAUAUAAUGAGAGUUCAAACCUUCCACUUAAGACAAGUGAAUUAGAUAAUCAUCACUAGGAUAAUGUUUUACAUUAAAAAAAUUAAAUAAUGUUUCAAGGUUUGAAAAUACAAAAGUGAAUUUUGCAUGUCUAAUUUUUUUUAAUUUAUUAUUUCUUUCACACAUAUUUCAAAUAAUAUUUCUUGCACCUUUAGUCUCUUUCAUGGACCCAACUCAGCCUCUCACUUCACAACAUCUUUACCACCUGACAAACCAAAUCACUCAGAAACAGAGGAGGCAUCUUAUUAUGAUGCUUUGUAUUUGGUAUUUGAAGAGACAUUACUCUAAACAAAUGAUGGAUUACUAUGGGUAUGAAUUAAGUAACUUCAUCUACCAGUCUUUCUUUCUUUAAGAGAAGUGUUAAUAGUAGUCUUUGAUGGUUAAUCUUGUAUGCAAUUUGAUUGUCUGCAAGUUUCUCUUAGCUCAUACAAGUAGCAACUGAGCCAUAUGUAGAGCAGAGCCCUACUAGCAGUAGGAUACUUAGCAUAUCAUAUCAUCCUAACAAGGAGACAACUUAGCUCUUGUCUUGGCCCAUGAAGGAGAACUCAUCCUGUUUAAUUAGCACAAUAAACAAUGCCAGCAUAAAAAUCUCAUUAGAUUUAACAAUUUUACAUUGUGUACAUGUUGAACAAUUUUACGGAAAUAUAGGAUGGGCUUCAACAAAACAUAUAGAAGGGAUGACGGAGGAGAAGAUAUAAGACACUGAUAACUAAGAUUUUUUAUUCAUAUUAAUCACUUACAAUCUCUUAAUAUCUCAAACCUAAUGUCUAUCAACCUCUCUUAUUUAUACAUUAAUAUCUUUAUUUAUCUUUUUCUCUCUUGAAUAAUCAAUUCAUUACAUUACCCCCUGUUUAUAUAGGAGUGAAGCCAAGAGUUUAAUUGCAAUUAAAACUAAGACUUUUAAUCAUAUAUCAUAUUUUUAUCUAAUCGUAAAGUUUAAUUUAAUAUUUCAAGAGUAUAAGUACUCACUGAAUCACACACUCUUUUAUUUGGUCAGAUAUAUUUUAUUUAUUUGAUCAUAUAUAUAUGAGAUCUACGUGUUCCUAAAAACAAAUGUGAGAAACACUGCUGCCCUGUGAACAGAACAGCUACAAAGAAAGGACAGUUUGAUCAAUGGAGUUUUUUGUUCAAGAAAUGAUCCAUUUUAGUUGUCUUCAAGACUUGGAUUGCUUGAAUCAUUUUAUGAUACUAUGAGUAAUACUGAUUGGGGGGGCCAUGUUGAGAUAAAACUUUGUUGUCUCUACACAAAUUAGCUUCAUUCUUUACACCUAAAACACCUCCAUCAUUAUGAAUCACUAUGUUGACAAACAGAUGAUACUUUUAAGACCUUUUCAAGAGAAUACAAAAAUGUCACAGUUGCUGAUUGUGAGUCAGAGAAGUGGUAGAAAUGUCAGUGUCAUGUCUACAACUAUCAUGAGAUAUGAUUGGAGGAAACAAGACAAUUCUAUGAAGUGUGGCAUUGAUCAAUACUCAGAAAUAUUUAGAAAAGGAUAGUUGAAGAAUGUUUAAACUAAUUGUCUUUGAUUUGAUUGCAGCUACAUGUGUCGUUUUUUGUGCAGAUACAAAGUCUUGGUCUUGGGAGUUAUGAUGUCUUCAAUCAAUCUAUA